This 367-nucleotide unclassified non-coding RNA is filed under the name Hevea brasiliensis (rubber tree). Lineage: Eukaryota; Viridiplantae; Streptophyta; Magnoliopsida; Malpighiales; Euphorbiaceae. The record is from RNAcentral.
AAAAAACAAUUAUUCGAUUCGAUUCUUACUUUUCCUUUUUUCUCAAGAAAUGAACCAAAAAGAUUGAAUUUCUUAAAAUAAAAAACUAAACCUAAUCAAUUUACCAAGAAAAUCGAACCAAAAUUUUGAAUUAAAUCGCUUCGGUCGGUUUUUCAAUUUGAACUGAAUUCUAGUCACCUCUACAUGCAUGCCUACUUUCAAAUAAAUUGAAUAUAGAUAAGUUUUCUUAUGUAAUAGAACAAUUUGACCUUGAAUUAUAUUUAAUAAAAUAUUCAGUCUUAAAGAAAACUUUUGAGAUGACGAGCAUUAAAUGUAACAGUCAAUUUACAAAAAUAUGAAUCGCUGGAAAAAUUAUGGGACUGUAGAA